Molecule: long non-coding RNA, 864 nt
Organism: Harmonia axyridis
Lineage: Eukaryota; Metazoa; Arthropoda; Insecta; Coleoptera; Coccinellidae
Exons: 2
Source: RefSeq, a predicted model, not a curated record
AACUAACCUUAGCUAACCAAAAUUAAACUUUUCGCUAAUCAAAAAAACUUGAUGGAUUAUUUAUACGUCAUUCUGCCACACACAGAAAUCAAAAUAGAUAACCUACAAAUGAGAAGGGUAUAAUUUGUACAAUUUGGUAACUAUUUUCAUUUGAAAAUGUUCAGUAGGGUGUUAGCGAAUUCAAGUCGUAUUUUACGAGCAAUUUCAGUGAAAAUACCAUCAUCAGUGAAUAAUGCGAUAUACUUGAAACCAUCUUUCCAUCAAUUUUCAACAAGUAUACUGGGAAAUAUUAGUCAAAAUAGGCCAACUCUUCUCUCAAAUCCAUCGAUCAAAGCGUUUGCACUGAAUGUUACUCCUCCUGUAAGAACAGUAACCAAGUUUUCUAUAAGAAAAGGCAGAAGGAAAGCUGUAAAGGUAGUACUGCAAAAAUUUUAUCGCUUGCAUUGGGGAGGUUGGAUCAGAACUAAAUGUGGAAGACAGAAGCGCCUAUGGAAGAAGAGUGCAGCAAGAAAGAGAAGGUUGAGGCAACAUGUAUUCUGUAAUUCAACACAAUGUACUUUAUUAGAUAAGAUGGUUGGUAGCUACUGGCGUAGACCUAAGUACUAUGUUGAAGAUCCUUAUGAACCCUAUCAUACAAGAGAUGAAUUUUCAAUAACAUCAACGAAGCCAAGACCGUAUUAUCCACCAGAGAAUCAGGUUUAAUUAUAGUUGUUGGUUUUUUAUGAAAAUACAUGAUUUGGAGCAAUUUUCAAUUCAUGAAUAUGGUUUAACAAUAUGUUGAGUAUGUAUUUAGUGAUUUGUUGAACAAAUAUUGACCUGAUGUGGAAUAAUGAAUUAUUCAAAUAUAACAGAAAAAAUGGUUUA